Molecule: ribosomal RNA, 468 nt
Filed under: uncultured bacterium
Lineage: Bacteria
Description: partial 16S ribosomal RNA
Rfam family: Bacterial small subunit ribosomal RNA
Source: RNAcentral
GACGAACGCUGGCGGCGUGCUUAACACAUGCAAGUCGAACGGAAAGGCCCUGCUUUUGUGGGGUGCUCGAGUGGCGAACGGGUGAGUAACACGUGAGUAACCUGCCCUUGACUUUGGGAUAACUUCAGGAGACUGGGGCUAAUACCGGAUAGGAGCUCCUGCUGCAUGGUGGGGGUUGGAAAGUUUCGGCGGUUGGGGAUGGACUCGCGGCUUAUCAGCUUGUUGGUGGGGUAGUGGCUUACCAAGGCUUUGACGGGUAGCCGGCCUGAGAGGGUGACCGGCCACAUUGGGACUGAGACACGGCCCAGACUCCUACGGGAGGCAGCAGUGGGGAAUAUUGCACAAUGGGCGGAAGCCUGAUGCAGCAACGCCGCGUGCGGGAUGACGGCCUUCGGGUUGUAAACCGCUUUCGCCUGUGACGAAGCGUGAGUGACGGUAAUGGGUAAAGAAGCACCGGCUAACUACGUG